GAUGAACGCUGGCGGCGUGCCUAAUACAUGCAAGUCGAGCGAACAGACGAGGAGCUUGCUCCUCGGACGUUAGCGGCGGACGGGUGAGUAACAGGUGGGUGACCUACCUUUAAGACUGGGAUAACUUCGGGAAACCGGAUCUAAUACCGGAUAAUAUAUUGAACCGCAUGGUUCAAUAGUGAAAGACGGUUUUGCUGGCACUUAUAGAUGGAUCCGCGCCGCAGUAGCUAGUUGGUAAGGUAACGGCGUACCAAGGCAACGAUGCGUAGCCGACCUGAGAGGGUGAGCGGCCACACUGGAACUGAGACACGGCCCAGACUCCUACGGGAGGCAGCAGUAGGGAAUCUUGCGCAAUGGGCGCAAGCUUGACGGAGCAACGCCGCGUGAGUGAUGAAGGUCUUCGGAUCGUAAAAUUCUGUUAUUCGGGAAGGAAAGAUGUGUACGUAAAUAUGCACCUCUUGACGGUACCUAAACAGAAAGCCACGGCUAACUACGUG
RNAcentral lists this ribosomal RNA (497 nucleotides) under uncultured bacterium. Its description in RNAcentral is "partial 16S ribosomal RNA". It matches the Rfam family "Bacterial small subunit ribosomal RNA", at positions 28 to 507 of the family's 1533-position model. The record is from RNAcentral.